GUAGGUGGCAAGCGUUGUCCGGAAUUAUUGGGCGUAAAGCGCGCGCAGGCGGUUCUUUAAGUCUGAUGUGAAAGCCCACGGCUCAACCGUGGAGGGUCAUUGGAAACUGGAGAACUUGAGUACAGAAGAGGAAAGCGGAAUUCACGUGUAGCGGUGAAAUGCGUAGAGAUGUGGAGGAACACCAGUGGCGAAGGCGGCUUUCUGGUCUGUAACUGACGCUGAGGCGCGAAAGCGUGGGGAGCAAACAGGAUUAGAUACCCUGGUAGUCCACGCCGUAAACGAUGAGUGCUAAGUGUUAGGGGGUUUCCGCCCCCCUUAGUGCUGCAGCUAACGCAUUAAGCACUCCGCCUGGGAGUACGGCCGCAAGGCUG
This 371-nucleotide ribosomal RNA is filed under the name uncultured organism. RNAcentral's name for it is "partial 16S ribosomal RNA". It matches the Rfam family "Bacterial small subunit ribosomal RNA", at positions 527 to 896 of the family's 1533-position model. The record is from RNAcentral.